RNAcentral lists this ribosomal RNA (972 nucleotides) under Hypholoma aurantiacum. Its description in RNAcentral is "LSU rRNA". It matches the Rfam family "Eukaryotic large subunit ribosomal RNA", at positions 1 to 959 of the family's 3401-position model. The record is from RNAcentral. Lineage: Eukaryota; Fungi; Basidiomycota; Agaricomycetes; Agaricales; Strophariaceae.
GACCUCAAAUCAGGUAGGACUACCCGCUGAACUUAAGCAUAUCAAUAAGCGGAGGAAAAGAAACUAACAAGGAUUCCCCUAGUAACUGCGAGUGAAGCGGGAAAAGCUCAAAUUUAAAAUCUGGCAGUCUUCGAUUGUCCGAGUUGUAAUCUAGAGAAGUGUUAUCCGCGCUGGACCGUGUACAAGUCUCCUGGAAUGGAGCGUCAUAGAGGGUGAGAAUCCCGUCUUUGACACGGACUGCCAGGGCUUUGUGAUGCGCUCUCAAAGAGUCGAGUUGUUUGGGAAUGCAGCUCAAAAUGGGUGGUAAAUUCCAUCUAAAGCUAAAUAUUGGCGAGAGACCGAUAGCGAACAAGUACCGUGAGGGAAAGAUGAAAAGAACUUUGGAAAGAGAGUUAAACAGUACGUGAAAUUGCUGAAAGGGAAACGCUUGAAGUCAGUCGCGUUGUCUGGGAAUCAACCUUGCUUUUGCUGGGCGUACUUUCCAGAUAAUGGGUCAGCAUCAAUUUUGAUCGUUGGAUAAAGUCAGAAGGAAUGUGGCAUCUUCGGAUGUGUUAUAGCCUUUUGUCGUAUACAACGGUUGGGAUUGAGGAACUCAGCACGCCGCAAGGCCGGGUACUUGUACCACGUUCGUGCUUAGGAUGCUGGCAUAAUGGCUUUAAUCGACCCGUCUUGAAACACGGACCAAGGAGUCUAACAUGCCUGCGAGUAUUUGGGUGGAAAACCCGAGUGCGCAAUGAAAGUGAAAGUUGAGAUCCCUGUCAUGGGGAGCAUCGACGCCCGGACCAGACCUUUUGUGACGGAUCUGCGGUAGAGCAUGUAUGUUGGGACCCGAAAGAUGGUGAACUAUGCCUGAAUAGGGUGAAGCCAGAGGAAACUCUGGUGGAGGCUCGUAGCGAUUCUGACGUGCAAAUCGAUCGUCAAAUUUGGGUAUAGGGGCGAAAGACUAAUCGAACCAUCUAGUAGCUGGUUCCU